Molecule: long non-coding RNA, 2194 nt
Organism: Lactuca sativa (garden lettuce)
Lineage: Eukaryota; Viridiplantae; Streptophyta; Magnoliopsida; Asterales; Asteraceae
Source: RefSeq, a predicted model, not a curated record
CUAACGUUUGCUCACUAUCACUCUCUCUUGUAAAAUAUUCUGAAGUUAUAAAAUAAGUUUUAAAGUAUUUCUGGUGCAUCCUUCUUUCCUUGAUUGUGUUUCCCUUCACUCUUGUAAGUUUUUGUUACUUAUACUUUAUUAUUGUUUGCAUUAGCCUAAUGAUAGGCUAAAACCCUUUUAAGUGUUAAAUAAGUUCAUGAAAUUAUGGCUUUACUAAUUUUAUAGAAACCUUAGGUAUCAUAUAGCUAUUUGAAAUACAAAAGUCUAGGUUAAUAACAUGUAAUUUAAAUUGAAAUGUUUCACCAUUAGUUGUGAUGUUGCCCAUCUUUUAGCCAAGCUUUGGCGUUCUUAGCGUUGUUUGUCAUUGACUUGGUAUAUAUCAACGUUUCAAAUUCACAAAAAGAAAGAUCAGUUAGCAAAAAUAUACCUUAUUGAUGUAAGCAACAAUAAAGGUGGCAUAGUUAACAGCAUAACCAAGAUCAAGAACUUGAGAUGUAGAAUCCAUGGAAUGGACAUUCGUCUUCAAUGACCUAUCUAUAAUCAGAAGAUGAGAUAUAGAAGAAUUUUUCAAAUACAAUACAAUAGCAUAAGAAAAAUGAGGAUAAAAAAAUCAGAUGCAAAAGAGAUGCCCUGAACUGUAGUCAUCAGCCAUACCUUUUUAGCUGUUGUAGUAAUCUUGUUUCUUGACAGCGUUCAACAUCUAAUCUACAAAAAACCUGAAUUUUGUUGGUUGUGAAUCUAUCAUCAAGAUACAAGAAAAUAAAAGAGAAAGAAAUGUCAGAUAGAGGCGUGAAACAUGUGUAUCACUUAUCCAUAAUAUUUUCAGUUUCAUCUCCGAAUCAAGAUCUGCUACUUGAUGCAAUUUGAUAACCCAUAUUAAAACUCUUUUUCAUUCCCUUUAGAUUCAUAUUCAUCUAAAUCUGAAUACCAUUUUUCAAACCUAAAAGAAAACAUAAAUCAGAAUUUGAAAGAAAACUAAACACAUAAACUUAGAUUUCAAACAUGAGAAAAUAUUUUUUCAAGAAAGUCAGCAAUGUCAAGCUUAAACUUAAAUAAAAAACAUACACAUAUGGUUAAAGACAUACACAAACACACACAGUUAGAGAGAUGGAAAAGGUUAGCGAUGGUUGUGCUGAUUUUUAUAGAGAGACAGAGAAACUCAGAUGUGGCGGUGGUGAGGAUGUUAUAGCAAUAAACAGAGAAUGUGAGGGUGAGGGAUGGCGGAAAUCGGUGGUGAUAGGUUUGUUAGGGUUACUAUUUAGGGUUAGAUGGAAAAAGAAAAUGUAAAGAGAAGGAGAGCGUGGUUUUCAAAAGAAUUUAGAUAUUAGGGUUUUGGAUGAUUGACAUAUUAAGGUUCCAAAAAUUAGUGGAUGGGAAGCUUUGGUAUUUCAUAGAGCGAUCAAGUUGAAAUAUAGGGAAGGCAAACGAUUUACAAUUAUAUGGGAAGCGAUUAUAUGAGACUUAGUCAAAAGGCAGAAGAUAAGCGAAUAAACCAUCGACCAUACUUAUCUUAGACUUUUUCAGUUGUUAUAAUUUAGUGCAUAAAGUUGUUGUAUAUGAUGUUUUAGAGGUUGUACCUCUUAAAAUUCAACAUUUGAGGCUAAAUGCUUAUUAAGGUAUAAAGAUAUACCAUAAAAUCCAGAGAAGGCCUAGGGGUACCAUAUAGUCACUUCAAAAUACAGUCAUAGGUUUAUUUACAAUAACAAGUAAUUUAAUUAUAAUUUAUUAGAUUUUGAUGAUAUUAUAGGAUUUUGAUAUGAAUUUGUUUACUUGAGAUGAAGAUAAUGAAGACUCGAAUUGGACUGACGUUAUUUUUGGUCCCGGAAAGAUCCAAUUAUGCUAUUGAACAUUGAUUUGGUGUCAAUAUUGAAGAACAUGUUACUUAUUAGAUAUGAUGAUGCAUUAUAAAAGUAGAUGUCAAGAUGACAAAUAAUUUUGAGGGAUAAUUAUGUGGAUGGAAAAAGUGAAAGAUGAGAUGCUGCUACAGGUUUGUACCAUCAGUCUCCAUCCUAGCCUCCAAUGGCAAUAUAUGGUUGUUUCUUUUUAAACAUAUGUACCUAUUUAUAGCCUUGUACAUUUAGAUCUUUUCUUAUUAGUACAUUAUCCAAGUAUGAAAAUAUUUGAAAGGACAAUGAUGUAAUAAAGGCAAACAAGAUUAUGAUGAUUUAUUCUAUCAUAUUUCUGAGUUUUGACA